AUGUAGAGUCCGCAUAUUUUCAUAUCAAACUCUAUGAAAUAAGGGGUUUAUUUCAGCCAAACCAGAGUUGUUGAUUGUUGGAAAGACUAACCAAGACAGUUUUGGAGAGUUUUACUUUGUUUCUUUCAAGUUUGAAUGAAGAGUUUUAACGAUUCUC
This is a long non-coding RNA of Sebastes umbrosus (honeycomb rockfish), 157 nucleotides long. RefSeq lists it as uncharacterized. The transcript has 3 exons. The record is from RefSeq and is a predicted model, not a curated record. NCBI's taxonomy places the organism in Eukaryota, Metazoa, Chordata, Actinopteri, Perciformes, Sebastidae.